Molecule: ribosomal RNA, 429 nt
Filed under: Chloroflexota bacterium
Lineage: Bacteria; Bacillati; Chloroflexota
Description: Chloroflexi bacterium partial 16S ribosomal RNA
Rfam family: Bacterial small subunit ribosomal RNA
Source: RNAcentral
UGGGGAAUAUUGCACAAUGGGCGCAAGCCUGAUGCAGCCAUGCCGCGUGUAUGAAGAAGGCCUUCGGGUUGUAAAGUACUUUCAGCGGGGAGGAAGGGAGUAAAGUUAAUACCUUUGCUCAUUGACGUUACCCGCAGAAGAAGCACCGGCUAACUCCGUGCCAGCAGCCGCGGUAAUACGGAGGGUGCAAGCGUUAAUCGGAAUUACUGGGCGUAAAGCGCACGCAGGCGGUUUGUUAAGUCAGAUGUGAAAUCCUCGGGCUCAACCUGGGAAAUGCAUCUGAUACUGGAAAGCCUGAGUUUCGUAGAGGGGGGGAAAAUUCCAGGUGUAGGGGUGAAAUGGGUAGAGAUCUGGAGGAAUACCGGUGGCGAAGGCGGCCCCCUGGACGAAGAAAUACGCUAAGGUGCGAAAGAGUGGGGAGCAAACAGG